Molecule: ribosomal RNA, 497 nt
Filed under: uncultured bacterium
Lineage: Bacteria
Description: partial 16S ribosomal RNA
Rfam family: Bacterial small subunit ribosomal RNA
Source: RNAcentral
GAUGAACGCUGGCGGCGUGCCUAAUACAUGCAAGUCGAGCGAACAGACGAGGAGCUUGCUCCUCUGACGUUAGCGGCGGACGGGUGAGUAACACGUGGAUAACCUACCUAUAAGACUGGGAUAACUUCGGGAAACCGGAGCUAAUACCGGAUAAUAUAUUGAACCGCAUGGUUCAAUAGUGAAAGACGGUUUUGCUGUCACUUAUAGAUGGAUCCGCGCCGCAUUAGCUAGUUGGUAAGGUAACGGCUUACCAAGGCAACGAUGCGUAGCCGACCUGAGAGGCGGAUCGGCCACACUGGAGCUGAGACGCGGUCCAGACUCCUACGGGAGGCAGCAGUAGGGAAUCUUCCGCAAUGGGCGAAAGCCUGACGGAGCAACGCCGCGUGAGUGAUGAAGGUCUUCGGAUCGUAAAACUCUGUUAUUAGGGAAGAACAAAUGUGUAAGUAACUAUGCACGUCUUGACGGUACCUAAUCAGAAAGCCACGGCUAACUACGUG